ACGACUCUCGACAACGGUAUCUCGGCUCUCGCAUCGAUGAAGAACGUAGCGAAAUGCGAUACUUGGUGUGAAUUGCAGAAUCCCGUGAACCAUCGAGUCUUUGAACGCAAGUUGCGCCUGAAGCCAUUAGGCUGAGGGCACGUCUGCCUGGGUGUCACGC
Molecule: ribosomal RNA, 160 nt
Filed under: Conioselinum pteridophyllum
Lineage: Eukaryota; Viridiplantae; Streptophyta; Magnoliopsida; Apiales; Apiaceae
Description: Ligusticum pteridophyllum 5.8S ribosomal RNA
Rfam family: 5.8S ribosomal RNA
About the family: 5.8S ribosomal RNA (5.8S rRNA) is a component of the large subunit of the eukaryotic ribosome. It is transcribed by RNA polymerase I as part of the 45S precursor that also contains 18S and 28S rRNA.
Source: RNAcentral